Molecule: long non-coding RNA, 301 nt
Filed under: Homo sapiens (human)
Lineage: Eukaryota; Metazoa; Chordata; Mammalia; Primates; Hominidae
Description: non-protein coding lnc-PDZD4-2:1
Source: RNAcentral
CCCUCCAGGCUUGUCCAAGAAGACGGGGAGGUGGUGGGAGAGAAGAGGAAGAGAUGGAAGGGCUGUGAAAGCGGGGACCGGGUGAGGGCUGGGGCUGAGGAACAGGUGUCCGUUUCAAAGACAGCAGGGAAUGGCUGAGUUGAAGGAGGGAUGCAGUCAUUUAAGGCGAAGCCCGAGGAAGGAGCAGAGGCGUGAGGGCUGCUGCGUCCAAGACCGGGGAGAGGGGCUGAAAUCGCGGACUCUCUCUGGGGGACCCAGGAGACUGCUCCUCCUGGCAGGACCCCUCUCUCCCAGAGCGGCA